This 483-nucleotide ribosomal RNA is filed under the name uncultured bacterium. RNAcentral describes it as "partial 16S ribosomal RNA". It matches the Rfam family "Bacterial small subunit ribosomal RNA", at positions 30 to 507 of the family's 1533-position model. The record is from RNAcentral.
AUUGAACGCUGGCGGCAGGCCUAACACAUGCAAGUCGAGCGGAUGAAGGGAGCUUGCUCCUGGAUUCAGCGGCGGACGGGUGAGUAAUGCCUAGGAAUCUGCCUGGUAGUGGGGGAUAACGUCCGGAAACGGGCGCUAAUACCGCAUACGUCCUGAGGGAGAAAGUGGGGGAUCUUCGGACCUCACGCUAUCAGAUGAGCCUAGGUCGGAUUAGCUAGUUGGUGGGGUAAAGGCCUACCAAGGCGACGAUCCGUAACUGGUCUGAGAGGAUGAUCAGUCACACUGGAACUGAGACACGGUCCAGACUCCACGGGAGGCAGCAGUGGGGAAUAUUGGACAAUGGGCGAAAGCCUGAUCCAGCCAUGCCGCGUGUGUGAAGAAGGUCUUCGGAUUGUAAAGCACUUUAAGUUGGGAGGAAGGGCAGUAAGUUAAUACUUUGCUGUUUUGACGUUACCAACAGAAUAAGCACCGGCUAACUUCGUG